ACACGGAGGAUGCAAGCGUUAUCCGGAUUUGUUGGGUUUAAAGGGUGCGUAGGCGGAUGAUUAAGCGUGAGGUGAAAUGCCACUGCUCAACAGUGGAACUGCCUCGCGAACUGGUUGUCUUGAAUGCUCCUGCCGUGGGAGGAAUGUGUGGUGUAGCGGUGAAAUGCAUAGAGAUCACACAGAACACCGAUUGCGAAGGCAGCUCACGAAGGGGUGAUUGACGCUGAGGCACGAAAGCGUGGGGAUCAAACAGGAUUAGAUACCCUGGUAGUCCACGCAGUAAACGAUGAUAACUAACCGCUGGGUCGUAGUGAUUCAGUGGCCAAGCGAAAGCGAUAAGUUAUCCACCUGGGGAGUACGACCGCAAGGUUGAAACUCAAAUGAAUUGGCGGGG
Molecule: ribosomal RNA, 394 nt
Filed under: uncultured bacterium
Lineage: Bacteria
Description: partial 16S ribosomal RNA
Rfam family: Bacterial small subunit ribosomal RNA
Source: RNAcentral